Molecule: transfer RNA, 73 nt
Filed under: Nippostrongylus brasiliensis
Lineage: Eukaryota; Metazoa; Nematoda; Chromadorea; Rhabditida; Heligmosomidae
Rfam family: tRNA
About the family: Transfer RNA (tRNA) molecules are approximately 80 nucleotides in length. Their secondary structure includes four short double-helical elements and three loops (D, anti-codon, and T loops).
Source: Rfam by way of RNAcentral
GUCUCAGUAGCGUACUGGUUAACCCACAAACCCGGUCAGGCCCGAGACGCGGGUUCGAACCCCGCCUGAGAUG